GAUGAACGCUGGCGGCGUGCCUAAUACAUGCAAGUCGAGCGAACAGACGAGGAGCUUGCUCCUCUGACGUUAGCGGCGGACGGGUGAGUAACACGUGGAUAACCUACCUAUAAGACUGGGAUAACUUCGGGAAACCGGAGCUAAUACCGGAUAAUAUAUUGAACCGCAUGGUUCAAUAGUGAAAGACGGUUUUGCUGUCACUUAUAGAUGGAUCCGCGCCGCAUUAGCUAGUUGGUAAGGUAACGGCUUACCAAGGCAACGAUGCGUAGUCGACCUGAGAGGGUGAUCGGCCACACUGGAACUGAGACACGGUCCAGACUCCUACGGGAGGCAGCAGUAGGGAAUCUUCCGCAAUGGGCGAAAGCCUGACGGAGCAACGCCUCGUGAGUGAUGAAGGUCUUCGGAUCGUAAAACUCUGUUAUUAGGGAAGAACAAAUGUGUAAGUAACUAUGCACGUCUUGACGGUACCUAAUCAGAAAGCCACGGCUAACUACGUG
Molecule: ribosomal RNA, 497 nt
Filed under: uncultured bacterium
Lineage: Bacteria
Description: partial 16S ribosomal RNA
Rfam family: Bacterial small subunit ribosomal RNA
Source: RNAcentral